Long non-coding RNA from Mugil cephalus (flathead mullet), 549 nucleotides. RefSeq lists it as uncharacterized. NCBI's taxonomy places the organism in Eukaryota, Metazoa, Chordata, Actinopteri, Mugiliformes, Mugilidae. The transcript has 2 exons. The record is from RefSeq and is a predicted model, not a curated record.
AAGGCAACAGUGCUUCCGAGAUAAUUAACAUUCCAACAAACAAUAAUCCGAUAACUUGAAUUUGUUUUUAAUAUAUCUGUUGGUCAUAAUUUAAUAAUUACAAUGACUUGUUUGAAGCAAUCAAAGGUUAUCCCUGUAGUAACCGGACAGACUCGCAUUAACAAUGGAAGAACCGCAGCUACGCCGACUUUCUGUAUGCAGAAGGGAGAAAAGAAGUUAUCCGUGUCAUGAGAACUUAAACAACUUGAGGUCUGAGGACAGCGAUGAUGGGAGGACAGCUACAGCUGUGGGUACACAGAACUCAAUAUUCAGCUCCGAGAAAACCAUCUACUACACUCUCCUCAUCCUAAAAGUGGCACUGUGGAUCACCUUUGUUUGGAUUUUAUCUCACCUCCACAUGGGUCUGCCGUGUUUUAUCUUGUCGCUGACUGUUUGGUUGUGUCCAGAGCCAAUGCAGAGAGCUCUGAAGUCGGUUAAGAGGCGUCUGGAAGGUCAGGCUGCCUGUCACACUGCUUCAAAUGAGUAACAGUAAAUUCAUUCUCACAAUGA